Molecule: ribosomal RNA, 492 nt
Filed under: uncultured bacterium
Lineage: Bacteria
Description: partial 16S ribosomal RNA
Rfam family: Bacterial small subunit ribosomal RNA
Source: RNAcentral
AGUGAACGCUGGCGGUAGGCCUAACACAUGCAAGUCGAACGGCAGCACAGUAAGAGCUUGCUCUUACGGGUGGCGAGUGGCGGACGGGUGAGGAAUACAUCGGAAUCUACUUUUUCGUGGGGGAUAACGUAGGGAAACUUACGCUAAUACCGCAUACGACCUACGGGUGAAAGCAGGGGAUCUUCGGACCUUGCGCGACUGAAUGAGCCGAUGUCGGAUUAGCUAGUUGGCAGGGUAAAGGCCCACCAAGGCGACGAUCCGUAGCUGGUCUGAGAGGAUGAUCAGCCACACUGGAACUGAGACACGGUCCAGACUCCUACGGGAGGCAGCAGUGGGGAAUAUUGGGCAAUGGGCGCAAGCCUGACCCAGCAAUACCGCGUGGGUGAAGAAGGCCUUCGGGUUGUAAAGCCCUUUUGUUGGGAAAGAAAAGCAGCAGGUUAAUACCCCGCUGUUCUGACGGUACCCAAAGAAUAAGCACCGGCUAACUUCGUG